This 481-nucleotide ribosomal RNA is filed under the name uncultured Eubacteriales bacterium. Its description in RNAcentral is "bacterial SSU rRNA". It matches the Rfam family "Bacterial small subunit ribosomal RNA", at positions 41 to 523 of the family's 1533-position model. The record is from RNAcentral. Lineage: Bacteria; Bacillati; Bacillota; Clostridia; Eubacteriales.
GGCGUGCUUAACACAUGCAAGUCGAACGGGAUUUAGUAGACAGAAACCUCGGUGGAAGAUUACUAAUGAGAGUGGCGAACGGGUGAGUAACGCGUGAGCAACCUGCCUAUGACAGUGGGAUAGCCUCGGGAAACCGGGAUUAGUACCGCAUAAAAUCGUAGAAACACAUGUUUCAACGGUCAAAGAUUUAUCGGUCAUAGAUGGGCUCGCGUCUGAUUAGCUAGUUGGUGAGAUAACAGCCCACCAAGGCGACGAUCAGUAGCCGGUCUGAGAGGAUGAACGGCCACAUUGGAACUGAGACACGGUCCAAACUCCUACGGGAGGCAGCAGUGGGGAAUAUUGCACAAUGGGGGAAACCCUGAUGCAGCGACGCCGCGUGAACGAAGAAGGUAUUCGUAUCGUAAAGUUCUGUCCUAUGGGAAGAUAAUGACAGUACCAUAGAAGAAAGCUCCGGCUAAAUACGUGCCAGCCGCCGCGGUAA